UUUAAGUGCAGUUGCGGGUUUCUAUACUGAACGUUUGACUGUCCGUCUUACUUGAAAUAUUUUUGUGAUUAGUAUUUCUAUUGUUAUUAGAUGAUAAAACAUGAAUAAUAUUUUAUGCGUGACUUGUUUUUAAUUUUUUUCAUAAAUUUUUAAAUAAGAUAGACAGUCAAACAUUGGACACGGAAACCUACAACUACACUUAAA
This is a non-coding RNA of Oryza nivara, 204 nucleotides long. Lineage: Eukaryota; Viridiplantae; Streptophyta; Magnoliopsida; Poales; Poaceae. The record is from Rfam.